This is a long non-coding RNA of Megalobrama amblycephala (Wuchang bream), 442 nucleotides long. RefSeq lists it as uncharacterized. The transcript is spliced from 3 exons. NCBI's taxonomy places the organism in Eukaryota, Metazoa, Chordata, Actinopteri, Cypriniformes, Xenocyprididae. The record is from RefSeq and is a predicted model, not a curated record.
CAGAGAACUUCAAACAGUAAACGUGAGAACAUCAAAUGUCAAGGGAUUAUGGCUCUGCAAAACCAAGAGCCUGAGAGAGAGAGAAAGAGAGAGAGAGAGAGACACGACAAGCAGAACAGCAGAGGAAAUAUCAGCCUCCACAUGAUGCCAAACCAUCGAUUGAAAUUCAGAUGUGAGUCUAGGUUGGAGGGAGGAUAAAUUUGUCCACUUGAUCUCUGACUGGCAUACUACUACCUUACCAGAGGGUAUCUACUGCUCUGCCCAGAGAUAUUAUCACAACUUCACUCCUCAGAGGAAAAGCACACACACAGUCACAAACUCACAAACAGAGACUAUUCCAAUGCAUUCUAGGAUUGCCUUCUCCAGGGAAAGAUGCUGGCUUGUAAUGUAAAAAUGACAGUAAAGUCAUUUAUAACGUUAUAAAAGAUUUCAAUUUCAAAUG